UUGUCUGCUUAAUUGCGAUAACGAACGAGACCUUAGUCUGCUAAAUAGUAGUGGUUACAUUUUUUGGCUGAAGCAUAGUGUAGAGAACGGUGAUUUAUCACAAGUUACUCGCUGUGUGAAAGUUUUUAUGAUAGUCAUCGACUUCUUAGAGAGACUCUUAUUCAGAAAAAUACAGGAAGUAAGGCAAUAACAGGUCUGUGAUGCCCUUAGAUGUUCUGGGCCGCACGCGCGCUACAAUGGUAUGUGUAAAGCGUAAAAAACUUUACAGGAAUGUCGGGUAAACCCGGAUUCCCUCUCUUAACUGGAAUAGAUGUUUGUAAUUAUUUGUCUUGAACGAGGAAUUUCUAGUAGUCGUGGUUCACUAAACCACGUCGAUUACGUCCCUGCCCUUUGUACACACCGCCCGUCGCUUCUACCGAUUGAAUGCUCCGGUGAAAUCGUCGGAUAAUUCUGUUUCAGAGGGGCAACCUUCAGAUACAUACGUAAAAGACGAGUAAACCAUAGUAUUUAGAGGAAGAAGAAGUCGUAACAAGGUCUCCGUAGGUGAACCUGCGGAGGGAUCAUUAAA
This 568-nucleotide ribosomal RNA is filed under the name Protostelium mycophagum. RNAcentral describes it as "partial 18S ribosomal RNA". It matches the Rfam family "Eukaryotic small subunit ribosomal RNA", at positions 1311 to 1831 of the family's 1831-position model. Lineage: Eukaryota; Evosea; Variosea; Protosteliida; Protosteliaceae. The record is from RNAcentral.